CGACUUGGGGUCGCGACGCGAGGGCUU
This 27-nucleotide small RNA is filed under the name Bombyx mori (domestic silkworm). RNAcentral describes it as "ovarian small RNA-4862". Lineage: Eukaryota; Metazoa; Arthropoda; Insecta; Lepidoptera; Bombycidae. The record is from RNAcentral.